RNAcentral lists this ribosomal RNA (253 nucleotides) under uncultured bacterium. RNAcentral's name for it is "partial 16S ribosomal RNA". It matches the Rfam family "Bacterial small subunit ribosomal RNA", at positions 524 to 776 of the family's 1533-position model. The record is from RNAcentral.
UACGAAGGGGGCGAGCGUUGUUCGGAUUUACUGGGCGUAAAGGGCGCGCAGGCGGCUCAUUUUGUCAGGCGUGAAAGCCCCGGGCUUAACCUGGGAACUGCGUUUGAUACGGAUGGGCUAGAGUUCGGGAGAGGAGAGUGGAAUUCCCAGUGUAGAGGUGAAAUUCGUAGAUAUUGGGAAGAACACCGGUGGCGAAGGCGGCUCUCUGGACCGAUACUGACGCUGAGGAGCGAAAGCGUGGGGAGCGAACAGG